UGUGACUCGAGGCCAGCAGAGGCGGGAAUACGGAGGGUGAAAGUGGUAAGCGGAAAGACUGUGCGGAAAGCGGUGUUCGGCUGUUGGCUAAGUCAGAGGGUAAAGCCCUUGGCUCAACCUGGGAAGGGCAUUUGAAACUGGCCGGCUAGAGUGUGAUAGAGGAUGGCGGAAUUCCCGGUGGAGCGGUGAAAUGCGUAGAGAUCGGGAGGAACAUCCGUGGCGAAGGCGGCCAUCUGGAUCAACACUGACGCGGAGGCACGAAAGCGUGGGGAGCAAACAGGAUUAGAUACCCGGGUAGUC
RNAcentral lists this ribosomal RNA (300 nucleotides) under uncultured Aquifex sp. RNAcentral's name for it is "bacterial SSU rRNA". It matches the Rfam family "Bacterial small subunit ribosomal RNA", at positions 496 to 795 of the family's 1533-position model. Lineage: Bacteria; Pseudomonadati; Aquificota; Aquificia; Aquificales; Aquificaceae. The record is from RNAcentral.